This 749-nucleotide ribosomal RNA is filed under the name bacterium 62-L049660-122-017-F08. RNAcentral describes it as "bacterial SSU rRNA". It matches the Rfam family "Bacterial small subunit ribosomal RNA", at positions 61 to 801 of the family's 1533-position model. The record is from RNAcentral.
GUCGGACGGUAGCACAGAGAGCUUGCUCUCGGGUGACGAGUGGCGGACGGGUGAGUAAUGUCUGGGGAUCUGCCCGAUAGAGGGGGAUAACCACUGGAAACGGUGGCUAAUACCGCAUAACGUCGCAAGACCAAAGAGGGGGACCUUCGGGCCUCUCACUAUCGGAUGAACCCAGAUGGGAUUAGCUAGUAGGCGGGGUAAUGGCCCACCUAGGCGACGAUCCCUAGCUGGUCUGAGAGGAUGACCAGCCACACUGGAACUGAGACACGGUCCAGACUCCUACGGGAGGCAGCAGUGGGGAAUAUUGCACAAUGGGCGCAAGCCUGAUGCAGCCAUGCCGCGUGUAUGAAGAAGGCCUUCGGGUUGUAAAGUACUUUCAGCGGGGAGGAAGGCGAUGCGGUUAAUAACCGCGUCGAUUGACGUUACCCGCAGAAGAAGCACCGGCUAACUCCGUGCCAGCAGCCGCGGUAAUACGGAGGGUGCAAGCGUUAAUCGGAAUUACUGGGCGUAAAGCGCACGCAGGCGGUCUGUUAAGUCAGAUGUGAAAUCCCCGGGCUUAACCUGGGAACUGCAUUUGAAACUGGCAGGCUUGAGUCUUGUAGAGGGGGGUAGAAUUCCAGGUGUAGCGGUGAAAUGCGUAGAGAUCUGGAGGAAUACCGGUGGCGAAAGCGGCCCCCUGGACAAAGACUGACGCUCAGGUGCGAAAGCGUGUGGAGCAAACAGGAUUAGAUACCCUGGUAGUCCACGCC